GAUGAAGAACGUAGCGAAAUGCGAUAAGUAAUGCGAAUUGCAGAAUUUCCGUGAGUCAUCGAAUCUUUGAACGCACAUUGCGCCCCUUGGUAUUCCAUGGGGCAUGCCUGUUCGAGCGUCAUUUGUACCUUCAAGCUUUGCUUGGUGUUGGGUGUUUGUCUCGCCUCUGCGUGUAGACUCGCCUUAAAACAAUUGGCAGCCGGCGUAUUGAUUUCGGAGCGCAGUACAUCUCGCGCUUUGCACUCAUAACGACGACGUCCAAAAGUACAUUUUUACACUCUUGACCUCGGAUCAGGUAGGGAUACCCGCUGAACUUAAGCAUAUCAAUAAGCGGAGGA
This 338-nucleotide unclassified non-coding RNA is filed under the name soil metagenome. RNAcentral describes it as "partial contains 5.8S ribosomal RNA, internal transcribed spacer 2, and large subunit ribosomal RNA". The stretch from base 1 to 121 matches the Rfam family "5.8S ribosomal RNA", at positions 35 to 154 of the family's 154-position model. The record is from RNAcentral.